UGCUUCGGCAGAAUUCUGCCAAGAGAGCAGAGUUCGGCUCUGCUCUUAUGAGCAGAGCUGAACAGUCCUUUGAGGGCAGCCAUCGCAGCCCUCGGUCGCCGAGGAAAACGAGAAUGUGACGCUAACUCGGCCCCCGUUCGAAUAGUUUAAAGCUUGAGUUAAAAACAUAAGUUUAAUGAUCGUUUGGUGAGUUGUUAGGGAUGGUUUAUCUACUACAAAAAUAAUUGGUUUCGAAAGUUAAAGUGAGUAAAAUUUAAUUAAAAUGGAUUGGCGGAAUUUUAACGUAUUGAUUAUUGAAGUUAAAAGUGAUAUUAAACUUCGUUAGAACGGAUUAAAAGUUGAUUGAAUACGUUUUGAAUUAGUCAAAACUGUUUUGAAUUAAAAGUUAAAAUGUGAAUUAGGAGUCAACUUUGAGACCGGAUUGCGGGCUAACGAAAUGUCGGAACGAGUCGGUUUUAGUGUCGUUUUGUUCGUUACGGAACAGAGAAUGAAAGUAUGAGAGAGCUGUUGCCGCAACAGUGGCCAGACAACAGAAAAUGUGGCUGUAAACAGCAGCCCAUGGGGCUGUUCUGCUGUCGAUAAAACAGCCCGGGGAAGCAACUUCGGGGCUAGUUUCCGAUAUCUUCGGGUUUGAUUUUGAAUUGAAGGUCUAAACGAAAAUUGUAGAGGACGUUGUGAACUAUAGGAAUGUCAAAUUUAUUUUGAAUUAUGACUAGUUUACGUGCUCUGUUUCUAAGCCCGAAACAGCAGCUGUAGUGAGCUAAUUUGCAGUCCAAAACUGCCAAUUUUAAGGAGUCGACUUCAGGACCAAUUUCCGACACCUUAGGACGAUAAUUUCAGUUUAAAAUCUAAACGAAAGUUGUAGAUGGGGUUAGGUACUAUAAGGAUGUCAAAUUUGUUUGGAAGUCGGGCCAUUUUAAAUAAACUUUUUAAUAGUCCAAAGUCGGCUAAUUAGCUAGUUUUGGGAAAACUAGUUUUAAUUAACGAAAUGUAAAGUCGUUAAUUAAUUCAGUUAUAAAUUGACGUUUCGAGCUAAGAAAAACUAUAAAUUAUGGGAUUAUAAUAUUAAAACGUAAUCAAUUUAUUCCCAGGCAAAAUAAAUUGAUUUAGUCACAAAGUAUUAUAUAGUUAGAACACCUUUGGAUUAGGAUCCAUUUUAACUACGAUUCAUUAUCGUAUUUUCGUAGACUCGGCGAGGCGACUACCAACGGAACACGGUACUUAAAGAACGCGAUAUGACCGUAGCUUUUGGAUAGAAAACAUGUUAUGUUUCAGGUGUAUAGUAUCGGAAGUGACAGACUUCUAUCUUUGUUCCAGAAGUCUGUGAGUACAGAAAGAAGGAGUCGAUCAGUAGUGCUGCAGUAGUCAAGUCCUUAGAUGUUUGUAUAGUGAUUUGUCAAACGGUUUUAUAUGUUUUAUCUAAGCUCUGAUAUGUACGAAAGGUUUUAAACUGCGCUUUUAAACCGUUUAUAUAUAUGCGAGAAACAUGGCAUUGCUUGAUAUGAGCUAUCGCUUUGUAAGACCCUGAUUUCUAAAGAUCGUUUUGUAUCGUUUAAAGAAGUUUUAUAAAAACAUUUUGUUAA
Molecule: long non-coding RNA, 1583 nt
Organism: Mercurialis annua (annual mercury)
Lineage: Eukaryota; Viridiplantae; Streptophyta; Magnoliopsida; Malpighiales; Euphorbiaceae
Exons: 2
Source: RefSeq, a predicted model, not a curated record